Molecule: ribosomal RNA, 253 nt
Filed under: uncultured bacterium
Lineage: Bacteria
Description: partial 16S ribosomal RNA
Rfam family: Bacterial small subunit ribosomal RNA
Source: RNAcentral
UUGAACGCUGGCGGCAUGCCUUACACAUGCAAGUCGAACGGUAGAGGGGCAACCCUUGAGAGUGGCGAACGGGUGAGUAAUGCAUCGGAACGUGCCCAGUCGUGGGGGAUAACGCAGCGAAAGCUGUGCUAAUACCGCAUGUGAUCUGUGGAUGAAAGCAGGGGACCGCAAGGCCUUAGUGCGAUUGGAGCGGCCGAUGUCAGAUUAGCUAGUUGGUAGGGUAAAAGCCUACCAAGGCGACGAUCUGUAGCUG